GCCUCGGUGCCUCAGAUGGCUAGAGCGCCUGCCACGUAAGCAGGAGAUUCCGGGUUCGAGUCCCGGUCGGGACA
Molecule: transfer RNA, 74 nt
Filed under: Schistocerca americana (American grasshopper)
Lineage: Eukaryota; Metazoa; Arthropoda; Insecta; Orthoptera; Acrididae
Description: tRNA-Thr
Rfam family: tRNA
About the family: Transfer RNA (tRNA) molecules are approximately 80 nucleotides in length. Their secondary structure includes four short double-helical elements and three loops (D, anti-codon, and T loops). Further hydrogen bonds mediate the characteristic L-shaped molecular structure. tRNAs have two regions of fundamental functional importance: the anti-codon, which is responsible for specific mRNA codon recognition, and the 3' end, to which the tRNAs corresponding amino acid is attached (by aminoacyl-tRNA synthetases). tRNAs cope with the degeneracy of the genetic code in two manners: having more than one tRNA (with a specific anti-codon) for a particular amino acid; and 'wobble' base-pairing, i.e. permitting non-standard base-pairing at the 3rd anti-codon position.
Source: RNAcentral